RNAcentral lists this ribosomal RNA (586 nucleotides) under Toxomerus bistrigus. Its description in RNAcentral is "eukaryotic LSU rRNA". Lineage: Eukaryota; Metazoa; Arthropoda; Insecta; Diptera; Syrphidae. The record is from RNAcentral.
AGUACGUGAAACUGCUUAGAGGUUAAACCCGAUGAACCUGAAUAUCCAUUAUGGAAAAUUCAAUACUAAUAUUACAAUAUAUAUCAUAUUUGUAAAAGUAGUGUGCAAUUUUUCCAUAUAAGGACAUUGUAAUCUGUUAAUGUAAUAAUUAUUUAUCAAAAGAUUCUUUACUUAAGUUUAUUCAAAUUGUUUAUUUUCGGAUAUUCAACAUAAAAUAAAUGUAUUGAAUUGGAUAAAUCAUUGACAGAUAUAAUUAUAUAAUGUGCUCAAAUUCUAAGGAAUUUUACAAUGAUAAAUAAAUCUAUUGAUUUGUUUGUUUAUUUGUCUGCACUAUUAUGAUUAACAAUGCGAUAGAUUCAGGAUACCUUCGGGACCCGUCUUGAAACACGGACCAAGGAGUCUAACAUAUGUGCAAGUCAUUGGGUAUUUUUAAUAAAACCCAAUGGCAUAAUUAACUUAACUUUAUUUAUAAUGGGAUUAGUUUAUAAUUUAUUAUGAAUUAUUUAUUCAAUCCCGGGGCGUUCUAUAUAGUUAUGUAUAAUGGUAUUUAUAUUAUUUAUACCUCUAACUAGAGCGUACCUUGAGC